UAUGUAUGCGAGCACAGUGUCUCUUGUAUUCAGACACACCAGAAGAGGGCAUCAGAUCCCAUUAUAGAUGGUUGUGAGCCACCAUGUGGUUGCUGGGAUUUGAACUCAGGACCUCUGGAAGAGCAGUCAGUGCUCUUAACCACUGAGCCAUCUCUCCAGCCCGAAAAGCUUUUUUUAAAAACAUAUUUUGGACAUGCUAAUAUUUUUAAGUUUACUAACAAUUUUAAAUUGUUUUUUCCUGUUUCAGAGAUGUUUUGUCAGUUGAACAUUAAGUGUAGCCUUGUUUUUGCCUAUUUCAGAAUAUGAGCUUCUGGAUGUUUUUGUGUAUAUUUUUCAUGCCUCUUGUUCAGAUUAAUAGAGGAACAAGAAUAAUUUGAAUAUCUGAAAUCUAAUUUAUGUUUCAAUCUUUGCCUUCAUUUCCACUACUAGGAACAAAUAGGGAAAUAGAUUAAAAAUAAGUUGAAUUUUAUUUCCAGUCUGGAAUUGGGGCUCUAAAUUAGAGCAUGAGAGGUUCUCAGAGGAGGCAAAAAGGAUCGAGGAGAGCCUAGGAGCUAUAACUAAGCAGCUAGCUUAUAAGGGUCUCAUAGUUUCUACCUUAAACAUCUUACAGUUUUACAAAGUGCAUGGUCAUUUAUGAAAUAAUUCUGUAGAGAAUUAAAUAUUUAUUCCCUCUAGUAUUUGCAGUGGUAAGAAAAUAAAACUUGUCAAAGUUUAAAACAUAUUGUACAUGCGUACACACAUUUUUUAGUUCAAAAAAAACCAAAAAAACAAAAAACAA
RNAcentral lists this long non-coding RNA (778 nucleotides) under Rattus norvegicus (Norway rat). Its description in RNAcentral is "long non-coding RNA NONRATT016011". Lineage: Eukaryota; Metazoa; Chordata; Mammalia; Rodentia; Muridae. The record is from RNAcentral.